RNAcentral lists this ribosomal RNA (112 nucleotides) under Caerostris darwini. Lineage: Eukaryota; Metazoa; Arthropoda; Arachnida; Araneae; Araneidae. The record is from RNAcentral.
AACGGCCAUACCAUGCUGAAUAUACCGGUUCUCGUUCGAUCAUCGAAGUCAAGCAUCAUUGGGCGCGGUCAGUACUUGGGUGGGUGACCACCUGGGAACAUCGCGUGCCGUU